RNAcentral lists this long non-coding RNA (7099 nucleotides) under Nicotiana tabacum (common tobacco). RNAcentral describes it as "long non-coding RNA (NTAB_LNC000702)". Lineage: Eukaryota; Viridiplantae; Streptophyta; Magnoliopsida; Solanales; Solanaceae. The record is from RNAcentral.
GCACGUCCCCGCGAAAAUACUCACGCAAGCAAGGAAAAUUCUAGGCUUCUUAUCAAUCACUAAUUCUUGAACUCAGGUACAUAGAAUUUUCUAUUCUCAAUUAUCCUAAAGUAGUAGUAGAAAGAAUAGAAUAGUUAAUUUCCUUCUUCCUCUAUAUCAACAAUAGAUUUCAUGUUUAGGUGUGAAACUUUAAAAUUGAUUAAAAUGCACUGGUUGUUGUAGAAUCGAUUAUUUGACUGGUGUCAAUUGGACCGGGGUCUACGUAUUGGCUCGAGAAGUUUUCAGGUGAGUUGAUAGAACCCUUUACUAAAGUGGUUUAACUCACAAAAGCACGCAUACAAAGUGUUUGAAGAAUUGCUUAAAAGAGUUUAUAUUUACUUAAUUGGAGCGAGUGAGUACUUAUUAACUUAGAAUUGUUCUAGCAAAAGUUCAGACGAUUUAUUACGAUAUACGUGCACAAAUUUUUAAAUUUUUGUGUUAUUCUUAUAUGCUAUUUUCAUGUUGAAAAUUAUGAAGAAGCAAGAAUCUUUCGAAAUACUUUUACAUGUUUAUUUCAUUCUUAUGUCAUGCUUUACAUUUAAGGAUACCAACAUGAGCAUGUACAUGAUGUUCUAUAAAGAAAAGAUCUAGAAUUGAAAAGUCACAAGAAGGAGUUUUACAAAGAAAAGAUUUUUGGGAGUAUCCUUUAUUCUGAAAAGGGGUCAUCGUCCAGGCCGAGGGUCCUGACCAAGGCGUUGGCUUCUUGAAACUACUUGUGCCAAAGUAUGGAGCACACGAGUCAAGAGUCUCGUUGCUGAGAAUUUACUUAGCCAUGCUAAGGUAUGAUACAUGAGCGCUGAGAACCAUGAAGCGAGUGGCACCUCGUGGAUUGGGCCUAUUCGAUCAAGUUGGGAUCGAACAUGUGCCGAUCACACGGUGACUGAAAUAGAAUUAAGUCAGUAUAGUUGGAACUUCCAAAGUAUAAAGUGAAGUAUUUUUUUUAUAAGAAAUAAAAAAAAGAACUUCUUUUAGAAUAUUCAUAAACUGCUAUUAUGCAAUUAUUUUAGAAUUAUGCUUAUAAGCUUUAUGUUUUACAUGCAUUUAGAACAGUUGCUCGUAAUGUAUAUGUUAUUAAAGUUUCGCCCCCUGUUGUUGAGCAUCACUGAGUACAAUGAAUGGUACUGACGUUCUCUUAUGGGAACCUACGUUGGUCUGCGGUACAACGUAGGAACCAGUUUUGCAGGCGAGCGGGCUACUGGUUAGGACUUUCUUCUCUUCCAGUGCUAUUGGUGAGCUCCGCUUUUGUUCAUGGAGUAUUCCUUAGAAUCAUCUUUAUUUAGUUAUUUCUUUGUUUACUUAGAGAACUGGCCAGGAAAUCUCAUGUCCUGAGCAGUGCGUCAAUUUAUCAGUAGAGGCUUCAUAGACAUAGUCGUUGGGUUAAGAUUCAGAUGUUUUGAUAAUAACUUAGCAGUAAUUCAGUAGUUACUACGAAUAAAGUUUUGGAGUUGAUUUAUUUAAAUAUUUAAAUUAAUCAAAAGUAUUUAGUUAGAGUAUUGCCUUGUUGCAUAUAAAGUUUGGAGUUAUAAUAGAAUUGAUAAGCAGAGAUGGUUCGCUCGGUCAUGUUUUGUGAUCGAGUAUCGGUCCCGGCUUGUUCAGAAAAUGGGUCGUGACAAACUUGGUAUCAGAGCCUCAGGUUUAUGGAGUUCUAGGGGACUAUGAAGUUGUGUCUAGUAGAGUCUUAUUUAUGGGUAUGUCUUGCACCAUUGCAUGACAUAUUAGGAAAAUUUCCUUUCUUUGAAUCUUAGAUCGUGCGUUAAAGCUUAAAGUGAGAAUUUAGUUCCCACUUCUGCUAAUCUCAUGAAUGAUUGGUAUACUCGAUGUGAUUACAGAAUGCAAGGUUCAAUACACGAGUAAUAACCUCAGUUGCUUGAGGUAUAGUUAAGUUAAGGAGAUGUCCACUAUACCUCAAAAUGAGAACUAUAUUAAAGACAUGCGGCCAAGAAAGAGGUUAUCGUAAUCCUUAUAUUUUCAGUUAAAUGAAAAGGGAAAGUUGUAGAGGAAUAUGAGUUGACGACAUCAUCGAAUAUUGAAAUUAAGAAUUGUACCAGGACUCUGGAGGAGUUGAUAACAGUGAAAGUAAUGUGGAAAUGUUGAAAAAAAAACAUACCACAAGUUAAAGUUCUAGUUAAGUGUUAUUUGCAAUGCCAUGGGUAGUCACUAUGACGGUACCAUGGAAUGGAUUAAAUAAGAGAGACCAGUAAAUGAAAAGGUUAAGAGCCAACUAGGAAGGUUCGUAUCUCAAGUUUCUACUUUGGAACCCCUAGAAUGGAUAAGGUUUAAUUGGUCAAGGAUAUGCAAAAUAGCCAAUGUGCAACAGGCACCAUCGAAUAGAUUUGUACCUACUACUGUCUUCCUCACAUAGUUAAGGUGAUGAAAAUAUGGGAAAGAGGUUGAGAUCUAAAUAGUCGAGGGUCGUUUCUUCCUCUAGUGAGAUAUGAGAGGUGAUAUCUCCACUUUCGUAUGAGACAAUGUUGUAUGGUUACCUUGGUAUGAGAAUAAAAAGUUAGUAUAAAGUGAUCCUAUUCUAUUUCAAGUAAGUUAAGUGGUUAAUGGUUCUUGAGUGAUGAGGUAUAAAGAAGCAUAGGAAAUAUCUUUCUUGCAAGUAUUAGUGGAGUGUAAAAGAAUAUUAAAAGACAAGCAAUUUUGCUUGAGAUGAGUAUUUCCUACUAGCUCUUUAAUAUAAGUAGCUUCCGAUGACUUAAAAGGAACUCUAAAGCUCAGUUGGAUUCAUACCCUCGCAUUAACUUGUUAAUUCAAAAGGUAAUUACAGAAAGUUAGAGUAACCUCCUUUUCUAGUUUAACCAAGCUUAUGGAGAUCAAGAACUAAAAAAUAAAAAUAAAAAAUAAAAAACUGGUAAUCUUGCAGGAGAAGUUUUGUUAAUCUAAGAUAAGCUUCAUUUUGUGAAGUUGACUAUUCUAUUCAUCGAUUAAGACAUAUAUAAUGAUUUUACCCAUUUAAGAAAAAGAGAAGAAGUGAAGUUUAUCAAAGGAUGGAUUAAAGCGCGCGGAUCAAAAUUAUCAACAGUCUUAUACAAAUAAAAAGGCAUUGAAAACAUGAUUCUACAGCAAGAAACCUUGUGUUUUUGAAAUUAACUCUAGGAAAGGGUGUCGGGAAACUUAGGAAUAAAGGAAAAUCUAGCUUGAGCGAGGUUUAUUGGGCCAUAUGAAAUUAUUAGAGAUAUGAGGAAGUAGCAUAACUUGCCUGCUCUCAGAGUUGCCUUUCGUACAUCCAGUCUUUUAUAUCUCCAUAUUGAGGAAGUAUGUGUACGACUCAAGUCAUGUAAUUCCUUCUCAAAAUGUACAAGUUGAUGAGACGCUAUCCUAUGAAGAGGUUCCAGUUGUUAUACUUGAUAAACACGUUCAGAUUACAAAUUAGAAAUGUUGCUUCAGUAAAGGUAUCAUAGAGAAAUCAUUCGACUAAAGAAACCUGAACAAACUAUGGAGAUUGGCUUCAUUCCACCGGUAUAUAAUUUAUUUAUUCUUCUGAGUGAUGGAAUGCAGCUAGGUGCAUAUAUGUUCAAAAUGGUGAGAUGAUAACAUCUGAUAUUGUAUAGUGGAAGUAUCAUGUUAUUCUUCUAGAUUGAGUAGUUGGAUGUGCAACUGUUUUUAUUGCGUAGUAAUGACAGGUUGAAAUUUUGACUUAAUAGAAGCAGCGGUGGAAACUCUAUCGAAAUUUUUAAUAAUUUAACAAGUUAGUCAAAUGUUGGGGUCUUAAGAGAAAGGUGAAAACGGAACAGACCUAAAUCACUCAUAUACUCAACGAUAUCUGUGACACAACAUUCGAGGACGAAUGUUCCUAAGCGAGGAAGAAUGUAAAGUCCCGUAAGUUUCAAGGCUUAAAAUUUGAGCACCGCUUUCCAUCCAUAGACCGAUGACCAGGUAGAAAGGUCCAUUUAGACUCCCGAAGAUAUGUUGCGAGCAUCUGUUAUAGACUUUGGAGGUAAUUGGGAUGAUCACUUGCCACUUAUAGAAUUUACUUACAAUAAUAGCUAUCAGGCUAGCAUUGGUAUGACUCCUUAUGAAGCGUUAUAUGGCGGAGAUGUAGGUCUGCAAUGGGUUGGUUUGAACCAGCAGAGGUACCGUUGAUUGAUCCAGAGUUUGUUUGUUAGGCCUUAGAGAAAGUUCAGCUAAUCAGAGAAAGACUGAAAGCGACUCAGAGUCGUCAAAAGUCUUAUUUUGAUAAGAGACAUCGUGAGUUAGAUUUCAUGGUUGGUGAUAAGGUAUUUUUGAAAGUUUCACCAAUGAAAGGAGUUAUGAGGUUUGGUAAGAAAGGGAAACUUAGCCCCAGAUUUAUCGGACCUUAUGAAGUUCUAGAAAAGAAAGGAAAUGUGGCUUAUGAGCUAACGCUAGCCAUUGAGUUGUCCUCUGUUCAUCUUGUCUUUCAUGUGUCUAUGCUUAAAAAGUACAUCCAUGAUGAGUUGCAUAUAAUACCUACCGAUACCAUAGAAAUUAAGGAACGACUGACUUAUGAAGAGGUACCUAUAGAAAUUCUCAAUAGGCAAGUAAUAAAGUUGAGAACAAAAGAUAUAACAUCGGUAAAAGUUUUGUGGAGUAAUCAUGAUUCAAAAGAGGCUACGUGGGAGGUUGAGGAAGAUAUGGGGAACAGAAAUAUCCAUAUUUAUUUGAGACAAAAGGUAUACGAACCUAGGUUUGGAUUGACAUUUAUAUGUUAGCAUGUGUUUAUGUCCUUGCUAGAUUAUACUUAGUUGUGGAAGUAAUUUAGUUUUAUCAGAGUAUAUUUAGUUAUUUAAUAAUUUAGUGUCAUGCUAUAGUACAUUUAACUCCUUAAAGUGAUUUAUUUUUGCUAAAGUAUUGUGCUUUAGAUUCUUGUUGAUUAUUGUGGUACCUCCUUGUCGGAGUGUGAGUAAUUAAUUUAUGAGUUGUAUAUGGUGCCUAAGAAUAGCCUGUUAUGGUAUAUUUGGUUGUUGUUGGUGUAGUUGUGGUAUUUAUGACAGGGAUAUUUUUUUGGAUAGUCCAUUUUACAAGGGAUACUCUGUCGAAAUUUUUGAAAAUUUAGGGAGUUAGCCAAAAUUUUGAGUCCAUUAGAAGUGUGAGUAGUGCUAAGAAACCUUAAGAGGUUUAAGGACUUAAGGAAUGAUUGUUAGCUUAAGAAUAAAGUCCUAGCAACAUUCGAGAACGAAUGUUUUUAAGGAGGGAAGAUUGUAACACUCCUCAAAUCUAUAAAAGUUUCAAGACACGUUAAAUAUAGAAUUUAAUUUCUCCCCUCAAAUUAUACUUCUAUUACGAAUUUAAAUCCUUGUGAGUGAUUUUGAGUUACACCUAUAUUUAUAAAUAAGUGGCUAUACAAUUAGGGAAUAUUAAUAAUUUUAAUAUUAUUAAUUAUUAAAAGUGGGUAUCAUUAAUUAUUAGUUAAGUUAUAACAAAAAUAAACCAAAACAAAACAAAAAAAGGGACAAAAUAAACAAAGCCCUUAAGCCCAUAAAAGGGCUAUUGAAAAGCGUAAGGCAGGCUUAAAGCCUUAAGCCUUUGAACGAAAAAGAAAUUCCAAGCAGAUUUCUGCGUAUAAGAAACAAACGCACGUCCUAGCGAAAAUACUCACGCAAGCAAGGAAAUUCUAGGGUUCUUAUCAAUCACUAAUUCUUGAACUCAGGUACAUAGAAUUUCCUUUUCUCAAUUAUCCUAAAGUAGUAGUAGGUAAGAAUAGAAUAGUUAAUUUCCUUCUUCCUCUAUAUCAACAAUAAAUUUCAUGUUUAGGUGUGAAACUUUAAAAUUGAUUAAAAUGCACUGGUUGUUAUAGAGUCGAUUGUUUGACUGGUAUUAAUUGGACCAGAGUCUACGUUGGCUCGAGAAGUUUUGAGGUGAGUUGAUAUAACCCUUUACUAAAGUGGUUUAAUUCACAAAAACACGCAUACAAGGUGUUUGAUGAAUUGCUUAAAAGAGUUUAUAUUUUGUUAAUUGGAGCAAGUGAGUACCUAUUAACUUAGAAUUGUUCUAGCAAAAGUUUAGACGAUUUAUUACGAUAUGCGUGUAUAAAUUUUUAAAUUUUUAUGUUAUUCUUAUAUGCUAUUUUCAUGUUGAAAAUUAUGAAGAAGCAAGAAUCUUUUGAAAUACUUUUACAUGUUUAUUUCAUUCUUAUGGCAUACUUUAUAUUUAAGGAUAUCAGCAUGAGCAUGUACAUGAUGUUCUAUAAAUAAAAGAUCUAGACUUGAAAAGUCACAAGAAGGAGUUUUAGAAAGAAAAGAUUUUUGGGAAUAUCCUUUAUUCUGAGAAGGGGUCAUCGUCCAGGCCGAGGGUCCUGACCAAGGCAUUGACUUCCUGAAACUACUUGUGCCAAAGUAGGGAGCACAAGAGCCGAGGGUCUAGAUGCUGAGAAUUUACUUAGUCAUGCUAAAGUAUGAUACAUGAGCGCUGAGAACCAUGAAGCGAGUGGCACCUCGUGGAUUGGGCCUAUUCUAUUAGGUUGGGAUCAAACCUGUGCCGAUCACACGGUGACUGAAACAGAAUUAAGUCUGGAUAGUUGGAAUUCCCAAAGUAUAAAGUGAAAUAUUUUUUCUAUAAGAAAGAAAAAGNNNNNNNNNNNNNNNNNNNNNNNNNUUUUAGAAUAUUCAUAAACUGCUAUUAUGCAAUUAUUUUAGAAUUAUUCUUAUAAGCUUUAUGUUUUACAUGCAUUUAGAAUCUUUGCUCGUAAUGUAUAUGUUAUUAAAGUUUCGCCCCCUGUUGUUGAGCAUCACUGAGUACAAUGAAUGGUACUGACGUUCUCUUAUGGGAACCUACGUUGGUCUGCGGUACAACGUAGGAACCAGUUUUGCAGGCGAGCGGGCUACUGGUUAGGACUUUCUUCUCUUCCAGUGCUAUUGGUGAGCUCCGCUUUUGUUUGUGGAGUAUUCCUUAGAAUCAUCUUUAUUUAGUUAUUUCUUUGUUUACUUAGAGAACUGGCCAGAAAAUCUCAUGUCCUGAGCAGUGCGUCAGUUUAUCAGUAGAGGCUUCAUAGACAUAGUCGUUGGGUUAAGAUUCAGAUGUUUUAAUAAUAACUUAGCAGUAAUUCAGUAGUUACUACGAAUAAAGUAUUGGAGUUGAUUUAUUUAAAUAUUUAAAUUAA